This is a long non-coding RNA of Astyanax mexicanus (Mexican tetra), 767 nucleotides long. RefSeq lists it as uncharacterized. The record is from RefSeq and is a predicted model, not a curated record. Lineage: Eukaryota; Metazoa; Chordata; Actinopteri; Characiformes; Acestrorhamphidae. The transcript is spliced from 5 exons.
ACAAGCAUCAGUUUCUGAGCUGCAGUAACUCUUUGUUGUAGGCUGUAAGAACAAGCAUCAGUUUCUGAGCUGCAGUAACUCUGUGUUGUAGGCUGUAAGAACAAGCAUCAGUUUCUGAGCUGCAGUAACUCUAUGUUGUAGGUUAUAAGAACAAGCAGCAUCGGUUUCUGAGCUGCAGUAACUCUAUGUUGUAGGCUGUAAGAACAAGCAUCAGUUUCUGAGCUGCAGUAACUCUAUGUUGUAGGUUAUAAGAACAAGCAGCAUCGUUUUCUGAGCUGCAGUAACUCUGUGUUGUAGGCUGUAAGAACAAGCAUCGUUUUCUGAGCUGCAGUAACUCUGUGUUGUAGGCUGUAAGAACAAGCAUCAGUUUCUGAGCUGCAGUAACUCUGUGUUGUAGGCUGUAAGAACAAGCAUCAGUUUCUGAGCUGCAGUAACUCUAUGUUGUAGGUUAUAAGAACAAGCAGCAUCGGUUUCUGAGCUGCAGUAACUCUAUGUUGUAGGCUGUAAGAACAAGCAUCAGUUUCUGAGCUGCAGUAACUCUGUGUUGUAGGCUGUAAGAACAAGCAUCAGUUUCUGAGCUGCAGUAACUCUAUGUUGUAGGUUAUAAGAACAAGCAGCAUCAGUUUCUGAGCUGCAGUAACUCUAUGUUGUAGGCUGUAAGAACAAGCAUCGUUUUCUGAGCUGCAGUAACUCUGUGUUGUAGGCUGUAAGAACAAGCAUCGUUUUCUGAGCUGCAGUAACUCUGUGUUGGCUGUGUUCUUAACACA